Molecule: ribosomal RNA, 1318 nt
Filed under: uncultured bacterium
Lineage: Bacteria
Description: bacterial SSU rRNA
Rfam family: Bacterial small subunit ribosomal RNA
Source: RNAcentral
GCGGCGUGCUUAACACAUGCAAGUCGAACGAUUAAACCGCCCUCGGGCGGACAUAGAGUGGCGAACGGGUGAGUAACACGUGACCAACCUGCCCCGCGCUCCGGGACAACCGCUGGAAACGGCGGCUAAUACCGGAUACUCCGGGAGGGCCCCAUGGCCCUGCCGGGAAAGCCGAGACGGCGCGGGAUGGGGUCGCGGCCCAUUAGGUAGACGGCGGGGUAACGGCCCACCGUGCCCGCGAUGGGUAGCCGGACUGAGAGGUCGACCGGCCACAUUGGGACUGAGAUACGGCCCAGACUCCUACGGGAGGCAGCAGUGGGGAAUUUUGCGCAAUGGGGGAAACCCUGACGCAGCAACGCCGCGUGCGGGACGAAGGCCCUCGGGUUGUAAACCGCUUUCAGCAGGGAAGAUCCAAGACGGUACCUGCAGAAGAAGCUCCGGCUAACUACGUGCCAGCAGCCGCGGUAAUACGUAGGGGGCGAGCGUUAUCCGGAUUCAUUGGGCGUAAAGCGCGCGUAGGCGGCCGCCUAAGCGGGACCUCUAACCCCGGGGCUCAACCCCGGGCCGGGUCCCGGACUGGGCGGCUCGAGUGCGGUAGAGGAGAGCGGAAUUCCCGGUGUAGCGGUGGAAUGCGCAGAUAUCGGGAAGAACACCGAUGGCGAAGGCAGCUCUCUGGGCCGUCACUGACGCUGAGGCGCGAAAGCUGGGGGAGCGAACAGGAUUAGAUACCCUGGUAGUCCCAGCCGUAAACGAUGGGCGCUAGGUGUGGGGGGACGAUCCCUCCGUGCCGCAGCCAACGCAUUAAGCGCCCCGCCUGGGGAGUACGGCCGCAAGGCUAAAACUCAAAGGAAUUGACGGGGGCCCGCACAAGCAGCGGAGCAUGUGGCUUAAUUCGAAGCAACGCGAAGAACCUUACCAGGGCUUGACAUGCCGAUGAAGCCGGGGAGACCCGGUGGCCGAGAGGAGUCGGCGCAGGUGGUGCAUGGCUGUCGUCAGCUCGUGUCGUGAGAUGUUGGGUUAAGUCCCGCAACGAGCGCAACCCCCGCCCCGUGUUGCCAGCAUUCAGUUGGGGACUCGCGGGGGACUGCCGGCGUCAAGCCGGAGGAAGGUGGGGACGACGUCAAGUCAUCAUGCCCCUUAUGCCCUGGGCUGCACACGUGCUACAAUGGCCGGUACAGAGGGUUGCCACCCCGCGAGGGGGAGCGGAUCCCGGAAAGCCGGUCCCAGUUCGGAUCGCAGGCUGCAACCCGCCUGCGUGAAGCCGGAGUUGCUAGUAAUCGCGGAUCAGCACGCCGCGGUGAAUACGUUCCCGGGCCUU